GUUUAAGUACAUGCCGAAUUAAGGCGAAACAGCGAAUGGCUCAUUAAAUGAGUUAUGGUUCCUUGGAUCGUACCUUACUACUUGGAUAAUUGUGGCAAUUCUAGAGAUAAUACAUACAGCAGAGCUUCGAUCCUCUAGGGACGAGUGCUUUUAUUAGACCUUAUUACAUUACUAAAUAAUAAUUAUCCGCAAUACUUAUUUCAAUAAUAUUUGUGUUUUGGAUUAUCUGAUACUAAUCAAAUGCAGAA
RNAcentral lists this non-coding RNA (248 nucleotides) under Stegodyphus mimosarum. Its description in RNAcentral is "Eukaryotic small subunit ribosomal RNA". It matches the Rfam family "Eukaryotic small subunit ribosomal RNA", at positions 57 to 291 of the family's 1831-position model. The record is from Rfam by way of RNAcentral. Lineage: Eukaryota; Metazoa; Arthropoda; Arachnida; Araneae; Eresidae.